This 253-nucleotide ribosomal RNA is filed under the name uncultured bacterium. RNAcentral's name for it is "partial 16S ribosomal RNA". It matches the Rfam family "Bacterial small subunit ribosomal RNA", at positions 524 to 776 of the family's 1533-position model. The record is from RNAcentral.
UACGUAGGUGGCAAGCGUUAUCCGGAAUUACUGGGCGUAAAGGGCGCGUAGGCGGGAUGGCAAGUCGGUCGGGAAAUCCCUCGGCUCAACCGAGGAACGUCGAUCGAUACUGCUGUUCUUGAGGAUUGCAGAGGAGACUGGAAUUCCCGGUGUAGCGGUGAAAUGUGUAGAGAUCGGGAGGAACACCGGUGGCGAAGGCGGGUCUCUGGGCAAUUCCUGACGCUGAGGCGCGAAAGCGUGGGGAGCAAACGGG